AAGAUCACAAGAUAAAUCUGGAUUUCAUGUGGGUGCAUACCUGUCACGUUCAACCAUCAAAGAUGGUUAAGAAAAGUUAAAGGCAAAUUAUGGGGAAAAAGAGAAGAAAUUGGCUAAAAGUCAAAUUCGAGUCAAAUUUGACCGAAAUUUGAAUUUUGAAUUCUAAAUUCAGAAAAAUUUGGCAAAAAUAUGAAAUGGAAGCUUGAGAGUGUUUAGAACUUUGGGGAAUCAAGAUUGGAGACAAAACCUAGUCCUAAAC
Molecule: long non-coding RNA, 259 nt
Filed under: Setaria viridis
Lineage: Eukaryota; Viridiplantae; Streptophyta; Magnoliopsida; Poales; Poaceae
Description: long non-coding RNA (SVIR_LNC001540)
Source: RNAcentral